This 451-nucleotide ribosomal RNA is filed under the name uncultured bacterium. RNAcentral's name for it is "partial 16S ribosomal RNA". It matches the Rfam family "Bacterial small subunit ribosomal RNA", at positions 29 to 523 of the family's 1533-position model. The record is from RNAcentral.
AGCGAACGCUGGCGGCAGGCUUAACACAUGCAAGUCGAGCGGGCAUAGCAAUACGUCAGCGGCAGACGGGUGAGUAACGCGUGGGAACGUACCUUUUGGUUCGGAACAACACAGGGAAACUUGUGCUAAUACCGGAUAAGCCCUUACGGGGAAAGAGUUAUCGCCGAAAGAUCGGCCCGCGUCUGAUUAGCUAGUUGGUGAGGUAAUGGCUCACCAAGGCGACGAUCAGUAGCUGGUCUGAGAGGAUGAUCAGCCACAUUGGGACUGAGACACGGCCCAAACUCCUACGGGAGGCAGCAGUGGGGAAUAUUGGACAAUGGGCGCAAGCCUGAUCCAGCCAUGCCGCGUGAGUGAUGAAGGCCCUAGGGUUGUAAAGCUCUUUUGUGCGGGAAGAUAAUGACGGUACCGCAAGAAUAAGCCCCGGCUAACUUCGUGCCAGCCGCCGCGGUAA